UUAAACAAAUAUCAGAAACCAAAAUCAAGACUUGAUAAUUUUAACCAUUUUAUAUUUAUUACCUUAAUGUGUGUUUUAAAGAUUGAUGUAAUUUAUUUAAUACAGUAAUUAACUGUGACAAAACUUUUAUUCCAUACUUUCUUUUGUUUUUGUUAAUAUUUUAUUUUUAUUAUACAAUAUUCUUCAAUUUUAUGUAUUUUACCAAUUUGUAAUGAAAAGUAAUGUACUGUAAUGGAGGCAUUACAUCAAUUUUUAACUAAAGUAAUCAUUACAUUACAUGUAAUUGUAAUGCAGAAAAUGUGCAUUACAAAUUACUUUGCAUUACAUCCAAAAAAUGUAAUAUUACAGUGCAUUACAAUUACAAAUUACCAUUACCCCAGGCCUGUAAUGUAGACUAGAUUAUAUCCAUUAAUGAAUAUACAUAUGCAAAUACUGGUAAAACGGCUAAAUAGCAUGAACAAGACUAGUGAGAGUUGUCGAAUUAUAACAGUCAUGUGACUUACUAUUCAGCUUUAAAUAAAAUAAUAUACUACAAACAAAUCACAAAAAUACUGCAGUUUCAUUUUCUUAUGAGGGGCACAGGGCACCUUAUGGAAAUUGGAACUGUAAUUUCUGAAAUUUUUUCAUGACAUUGUCUCACAAAAAAAAACCUAAACUGUUGGUCCUUUGGGACCUAGCAAUCAUUAAUUAAUUUUUUUGAUUGUGUAACAAUGCACCAACAUGCAUGAUUAAACAAAGUCAUUUCCAUAAAUGCUGCAUACAAAUAAUACUAUCAAAAUUUCAAAUGCUAUAUAUUAUUUUUGCAACACCUAUCUCGUCACAAUAUUUUCAAUAAAAAACAAGUGUCAUAUCAUCAAAACAUGAUACAUCACAUCCAGUCUAAUACAAAAAUAGAAUUAAAAAAAAAUCCCUUAAAUUGACAGUUGUUACAAGAUGUAGGAAAUUAAGUUUGCAUUUUGUUAUAAACAUAUACUGUGGGUGAUGCAAAUUAUCAUAUUUUUUUGGGUUAUUUAAUCAUUUUAAAAUAAUCUGUAUAAUAGUAUCAGACAUAUCAAUGAGAAAUUAACUUAAAUUACAAUGUACAAAAUGAUGUAUAUAAAAUGUAUUUGUGAAUUUUAUGAGAAAUGAACAAAAUUUCAAAUAAUACAUAAAGCAUUAAAAAAAUAACAAUUCCAAAGAAUGCUUAAUUAACAGAGACUAGCAUAACAAGAUCUUAAAGCAGUUUUGACAUACCUGGUAAGUGCCCUAAAUCCAAAACCUAUUACAAGAAUGAUAAUUAAGUCAAUAUUACUAUCAAACAUAGAAAAACUACAUAUAUAAAUGGAUAAGUAUUUUGGCAAAAACUGGGAAGCACAAACAAGUUAUUAUCCAUAUUUUAAGGUACACAAUUUAUAAACUUGUAAAUCUUUUCAAGUAGCACUAUUUAAUUCAAUUAUGAAAUGUCACAUGUCAAUCACAUGGUAUUUAGUAUAAUGGCUGAAGGUCAAGUAUUCUUAAAAAUGAUACAUAGAACUAAUAAUGAAUUAUUUUAUUUUAUUUUGUUAAGAUUUAUUGUAUAACAAGCUUAUAAAAUUUUGAUGAUGUUUGGUUUUACUUUGGAAAGUUGUUCUUUCUCAAUUAGAAGAAGUUCUAUCACACCUGGUUAAUUCCCUACCCUGACCCAAUUUUCAUUAUUCCCAAUCCUGUAUUCAUACUUUAAAACCUAUAAUUAUAAAUAAAUAUGUACAGGUACACUUUGAUUCCAGACCAAGACUUUUUUUUAACAAUUAAAGCAUUGACUAAUACUAUAUUUUUUAUUAUGUCCAUUAAAAGUUAUUAUGGCACCUUAAAUCUUUGUAAUUUGUAACAGUAAAUUAACAUCAUUAUAUGCAUACAAAAAAUAAAAACAAAUUUCCUCUAUCACAAAUAUUAAUUGCAAUUAGUUUUAUGAGGAUUGGAAAUUAAUACAAGUGAAUUUUCACUUUUAUAAAUUCUUAUUUCAAUGUAUCUUAAAAGGAAGACAAAUGUAUGACCCGUCACAUGAGGACUAUGCUUGUACAGUACAUAUAUAUAUAAACUGUGGAUUCAUGAUUUUUCGUUGGAUACCAAUUUUCAUGAAUUUCGUGGGUACAGUGAACCAAGUAAUUAAAUGUUCAACGAUUGACAAAUUUUUCUGUAGGUUUGUUUGCAGGUUUCGGCAAGACCACGAAAUUAAAUAUCCAUGAACAUGCAAGUUUUCCUUAAUCCACGAAAAUUGGUACCCACGAAAAUAAAUGAAUUCACAGUACAAAUUUAAUACACUAGAUGAAAAAAUAUGUCAUAAAACAGAAUAACAUAAUCUUCAAACAUACAAUUUAAAUUGCAAAUUUGAUAUCUUAUGAUUGCACAAAUACCA
This 2374-nucleotide long non-coding RNA is filed under the name Mytilus galloprovincialis (Mediterranean mussel). Lineage: Eukaryota; Metazoa; Mollusca; Bivalvia; Mytilida; Mytilidae. The record is from RNAcentral.